Molecule: ribosomal RNA, 460 nt
Filed under: uncultured bacterium
Lineage: Bacteria
Description: partial 16S ribosomal RNA
Rfam family: Bacterial small subunit ribosomal RNA
Source: RNAcentral
CCUACGGGGUGCUGCAGUGAGGAAUAUUGGUCAAUGGGCGCGAGCCUGAACCAGCCAAGUAGCGUGAAGGAUGACUGCCCUACGGGUUGUAAACUUCUUUUAUAAAGGAAUAAAGUGAGGCACGUGUGCCUUUUUGUAUGUACUUUAUGAAUAAGGAUCGGCUAACUCCGUGCCAGCAGCCGCGGUAAUACGGAGGAUCCAAGCGUUAUCCGGAUUUAUUGGGUUUAAAGGGUGCGUAGGCGGAUUGAUAAGUUAGAGGUGAAAUGUCCGAGCUUAACUCGGGAACUGCCUCUAAUACUGUUGAUCUAGAGAGUAGAUGCGGUAGGCGGAAUGCGUGGUGUAGCGGUGAAAUGCAUAGAUAUCACGCAGAACCCCGAUUGCGAAGGCAGCAUGCCGGCUUCCGACUGACGCUGAAGCACGAAAGCGUGGGGAUCGAACAGGAUUAGAUACCCCUGUAGUC